RNAcentral lists this long non-coding RNA (243 nucleotides) under Pan troglodytes (chimpanzee). Its description in RNAcentral is "long non-coding RNA NONPTRT011010". The record is from RNAcentral. Lineage: Eukaryota; Metazoa; Chordata; Mammalia; Primates; Hominidae.
CGGCCGGACUGGGAAGAUGGACGCAGCUACUCUGACCUACGACACUCUCCGGUUUGCUGAGUUUGAAGAUUUUCCUGAGACCUCAGAGCCCGUUUGGAUACUGGGUAGAAAAUACAGCAUUUUCACAGAAAAGGACGAGAUCUUGUCUGAUGUGGCAUCUAGACUUUGGUUUACAUACAGGAAAAACUUUCCAGCCAUUGGUGCAUUCUGUUAAAAGCCAUUCAUCAUUGUUGUAUACCCUGG